RNAcentral lists this ribosomal RNA (549 nucleotides) under uncultured Variovorax sp. RNAcentral's name for it is "bacterial SSU rRNA". It matches the Rfam family "Bacterial small subunit ribosomal RNA", at positions 355 to 897 of the family's 1533-position model. The record is from RNAcentral. Lineage: Bacteria; Pseudomonadati; Pseudomonadota; Betaproteobacteria; Burkholderiales; Comamonadaceae.
UGGGGAAUUUUGGACAAUGGGCGCAAGCCUGAUCCAGCCAUGCCGCGUGCAGGAUGAAGGCCUUCGGGUUGUAAACUGCUUUUGUACGGAACGAAACGGCUCUUUCUAAUAAAGAGGGCUAAUGACGGUACCGUAAGAAUAAGCACCGGCUAACUACGUGCCAGCAGCCGCGGUAAUACGUAGGGUGCAAGCGUUAAUCGGAAUUACUGGGCGUAAAGCGUGCGCAGGCGGUGAUGUAAGACAGUUGUGAAAUCCCCGGGCUCAACCUGGGAACUGCAUCUGUGACUGCAUCGCUGGAGUACGGCAGAGGGGGAUGGAAUUCCGCGUGUAGCAGUGAAAUGCGUAGAUAUGCGGAGGAACACCGAUGGCGAAGGCAAUCCCCUGGGCCUGUACUGACGCUCAUGCACGAAAGCGUGGGGAGCAAACAGGAUUAGAUACCCUGGUAGUCCACGCCCUAAACGAUGUCAACUGGUUGUUGGGUCUUCACUGACUCAGUAACGAAGCUAACGCGUGAAGUUGACCGCCUGGGGAGUACGGCCGCAAGGUUGA